This 410-nucleotide ribosomal RNA is filed under the name uncultured bacterium. RNAcentral describes it as "bacterial SSU rRNA". It matches the Rfam family "Bacterial small subunit ribosomal RNA", at positions 29 to 431 of the family's 1533-position model. The record is from RNAcentral.
AUUGAACGCUGGCGGCAUGCCUUACACAUGCAAGUCGAACGGCAGCACGGGAGCAAUCCUGGUGGCGAGUGGCGAACGGGUGAGUAAUACAUCGGAACGUGCCCAGUAGUGGGGGAUAACCCGGCGAAAGCCGGACUAAUACCGCAUACGACCUACGGGUGAAAGCAGGGGAUCUCAUGGCAACAUGCGACCUUGCGCUAUCGGAGCGGCCGAUGUCAGAUUAGCCUGUUGGCGGGGUAAAAGCCCACCAAGGCGACGAUCUGUAGCUGGUCUGAGAGGACGACCAGCCACACUGAGACUGAGACACGGCCCAGACUCCUACGGGAGGCAGCAGUGGGGAAUUUUGGACAAUGGGCGCAAGCCUGAUCCAGCCAUGCCGCGUGCGGGAAGAAGGCCUUCGGUUGUAACGU